ACCUUAAAGUACAGGAUGUCAGAAGGUCAUCUCCAAGACCACUGGACACUAGUUUCUGAGGACCAUCUACAAUGGAGGAAGUGCAUCACGGAUUAAGAAGCUGAAGAUUCAGUUCUUCUGUUACUUCCCUUGUUACAGGGAAAGCUUUCAAAACACAGACACUUCUGUUCCUUUGGGCACAGGCAAAAGGCAAUUAAAUCGGCCAAGCUAAAUUGAAAACAGGUGAUGGUGAAGGGCACGGCGGGCUUGAAUCAAGGCUGGUGGCUGUGUGGAUGUACACAGAGGUGAUAUCACCAAAGGCUGACUGUCCUCGCCCUGGCUGCUGUCACUGCCCCACAGCCGGAGCUCUACAAUGACUGUGGCAGAGAACUCUCACUGGACUAGGAGUCCAGGGCACACUGGCCUCACCAGGGCUCCAGCUGCGGAUCCCAUCAUCCCCCGCAGGACGUCAGGUGAUGAGGGUGACAGAGCUGGGGCUGAGGUGUCCGCAGAGAACUUGGAUACUCAAGAGGCAGGCGUGAGUGGCUGGUGAGGUUCACCAGGGGAGGUUUGGAGGCCUACAACAACGGGAAUGUUUCGGCAGCCUCAGGGUAGCUGUCACCAGGCCCUGCCCUUGGCUGGUGCCCCUUCUGGAGGAUGCAUGAGUCUGAGAAGUCUGAAGUUCUUAUCUCCUCACUGUCCUCGUCAUGAACACACUGAGGCCGCUGUCCAUCCUCAGAAGGUGGUGUGCUGACAAAGUAUUCGGUGCCCAGGCGGAGCACAGGGUCUGGACGUUCAGCCCUGGUUAUGGCUUGGCCAUGGUGGGCAUGUCUGACGUGGGGACAGCCAGUCCACCAAGCCCAGCACCUCCACACCCGCACGCCAAGCGCUUGAGCGGCUCGUCCAGCUGCUAAUGGUUGCACAACAGCAUAGCCACUGCGCAUGCGGGUUGACGUCAGGCUCUUCACACGCGGCAGCACCUGCAAGUCCCCAUGCACGUCCUAGUGCUGAGAGCAUCCCGCACCCCGGCGUACCGCGACAUCUGCAGGAAGCUCCAAGGCCAGUGCGGAAUGCAGAAACAUUCAUAACCUCUGCUAAGCUAAGUCGCUUCAGUCGUGUCCGACUCUGUGCAACCUCAGAGACGACAGCCCACCAGGCUCCGCCAUCCCUGGGAUUCUCCAGGCAAGAACACUGGAGUGGGUUGCCAUUUCCUUCUCCAAUGCAGGAAAGUGAAAAGUGAAAGUGAAGUCGCUCAUUCGUGUCCGACCUUCACGACUCCAUGGACUGCAGCCUACCAGGCUCCUCUGUACAUGGCAUUUUCUAGGCAAGAGUACUGGAGUGGGUUGCCAUUGCCUUCUCAUAGCCUCUAGGAGGAGUAUAACCUGAUACAACUACUUUGGAAAAGCGUGUGUGUGCUCAGUACUCUCCAUAUCUUUGCGACCCCAAGAAUUGUAGCAUUGGUGCAUAAGUGUACCAUAUUGUAAUUAAAAAGAACUUCUAGCAGUGGCAUUUUUAAUGACACAAAAUUGAGAGAAAAAAUAAAAAAGCCCAUCCACAGUUAAAAUUGAAUUUUAUAUGUACAAACAUGGAAAAUACAAUUUACCUAAGAGUUUUAUUUGAUAUGUUCACAGAAGAGGAUAUAAUCCAGUUUGAAAAACAACAACACAGAGGUAUGUGUGACAAGGUAGAUGGAUUUUGAAAUAGUAAUUAAGAGCAAGAGGCAUAAUAGAAGUGUUGUCUUAUGAUUUCCCAAAAAAGUUAAAGGUAGUAAAAGCUUAGUGUAGACAAAGAACAAAUUAGCCAAGAUGGUGCGGCCAGGCUCUCUCGACCCACGUUUCCCAAAUACAUGGUUGUUAUUGCAACAGCUGAGAUCACUUACAACACAGUGAAUGCAUAUCACAAUGCACCCACUCAGUCAGGGGCCACUUUUGCUCUGUAAAUACAUAUAAGCUCCACCUGAAAAGCCCUUGCUGCUACCUUAUGGCUGUGUCUCAGCUGGGUCAGUGGGCCAACUAGGGCAGGAGAGAGUGAAGCGUGUCUGCUGCUAUGGCUGCUGUCCAGUCAAGUGAGAAUAAACGUGUCUCCAGUUCCUUUUCUUCCAGUUUCCCCACUCUCACCUUGCUUACCCUGUGUUCCGUGAACAGUGAGAUACAGCAGGACACUAAGCUAUAAAUUAUAUUGUUUAGGAAUGUAUACUUUGAUGUUAUAUCUGUUCAGGAAAACAAUAAA
Bos taurus (domestic cattle) is the source of this 2208-nucleotide long non-coding RNA. The record is from Ensembl. NCBI's taxonomy places the organism in Eukaryota, Metazoa, Chordata, Mammalia, Artiodactyla, Bovidae.